AAUUAGGGAUUUGAUUUACCCUAAUAAAUCAAAUCCCUAAUUAAUUAAAUCAAUUCCAAAUAGGGAAGUAAUAAUUUGCUUCUAUCUACAGAAUUAUUCCUAUGAAACCCUAGCCUCCAAGACCACUAUAAAAGGAUAGCCACACACAAGGGUUGGGGUACGUCUAAAAUUUCUACUAAAACUAUGCAGAAAAUUCCUUUCAAACUCUAGCCACCUCUUUUCUCUCUCUCUUUCACAUAAGGCUCCAGCAGCCCGGUUUACACAACAAACACAUCUCCGUACCCUAUUAGCUAUUGUUUUCUAUACAAUUCAAUUGAACUAAUUUAGGCAUCAGAGGGCCUUUGGCCAACAUCCCCUGGGUGUGGUCCUCUUAUUUAUUCUAUUUUACAGGGAGAAAGAGGUGGCUAAGAAGAAAGGGAAAUCUUUCUAUCCAAAUAUUCUUGUGGGAAAAUUUGUC
Molecule: long non-coding RNA, 457 nt
Filed under: Prunus persica (peach)
Lineage: Eukaryota; Viridiplantae; Streptophyta; Magnoliopsida; Rosales; Rosaceae
Description: long non-coding RNA (PPER_LNC001632)
Source: RNAcentral